Pieris napi is the source of this 311-nucleotide long non-coding RNA. RefSeq lists it as uncharacterized. Lineage: Eukaryota; Metazoa; Arthropoda; Insecta; Lepidoptera; Pieridae. The transcript is spliced from 2 exons. The record is from RefSeq and is a predicted model, not a curated record.
CUCAGGUGCAAAUAUGUGAAUUGAAUUAUAUUUUGACAAUUUAUUAACAAAACAAUUAACAAUAUUUAAUAAUUGGUAAUUGUAAAUUCGACAAAAUUAGGCAAGGCGACAAUUACUGUGCUUCCAAAAACCAAGGACGAAGAAGUACAAAAGAUACGACGAAGACGCAAAACAUAAGCUGUUUGAGAUUGUCAAACUUCCAAUUGUUCACUACGAGAAAUUUGUGCAAAUCACACGGGAACCUUGGAAUGAAAAAUAAUCCUAAUAAAAGUGUGUGAACAACUUAGUUCUUAGAUUUACUCAACCUAACU